Molecule: transfer RNA, 69 nt
Filed under: Leptotrombidium deliense
Lineage: Eukaryota; Metazoa; Arthropoda; Arachnida; Trombidiformes; Trombiculidae
Description: tRNA-Ala for anticodon UGC
Rfam family: tRNA
About the family: Transfer RNA (tRNA) molecules are approximately 80 nucleotides in length. Their secondary structure includes four short double-helical elements and three loops (D, anti-codon, and T loops).
Source: Rfam by way of RNAcentral
GGACUUGUGGCUUAGUGGUAGGGCACUUGCCUUGCAAGCAUGAGGCUCUGGGUUCGAUUCUCAGCACCA